Gallus gallus (chicken) is the source of this 597-nucleotide long non-coding RNA. Lineage: Eukaryota; Metazoa; Chordata; Aves; Galliformes; Phasianidae. The record is from Ensembl.
AACAUGUCUCAUUCAGAAGGGCCUUAAAUGGGAAACUAGGAAUUAUUUCAUCAGUCUAUAAGCUGAGGGUGAUUCAAACUCAGUUCAUUUCUCAAAUAGCACAAAGCAGAAGCAUACAUCUACGAAGACCUUGAUAGACAGAGAAAAUAGAGUGCUAAAAUGACACAGGUCACUAAAUAGUCAAAAAUCCGUAAGCCUUGCUGAUAACGUGUGGAGAUGAUGAAGCGAGCAAGGAAGUCAAACAGAUCAUGGGAUGGAAACAAAAUGCUAAGGAGAGAAGCAGAUACACAGAAGGGAUGAUUACUGCAUUUCUCAUCUCGGGGGGUGCGGGAGGAGAGAACAGUAAUGAUAAAGAAGUCUGCGGUUGGUGAGCGGCUCCAACACGGCGAAGAGAGCUGCCGCAGCACGGAUGCCUGCUCCCUCCUCUUGGGCUACCUCGCAGUGCCAUCUGCUGGCCCCACGUCUCGCUCGAGUGGAAAUUUCCGAAGCUGCUGCUCUGUGCCAGACACAUUGAGACCGCUCUGCUGUCUUCGCUCCCCCGAAAACAUAAAACCACCCUGAGGGCUGGGAGAGGUUAACUGGAGAAGGAAACAGAAA